AGGGAGUUAGCUCAAACGGUUAGGGCAUGCUGGCGGAAAAGAUGCAGGUUCGAUUCCUGUACUCCCAA
This 68-nucleotide transfer RNA is filed under the name Streptococcus parasanguinis. Its description in RNAcentral is "tRNA-OTHER". It matches the Rfam family "tRNA". From Rfam's summary of the family: Transfer RNA (tRNA) molecules are approximately 80 nucleotides in length. Lineage: Bacteria; Bacillati; Bacillota; Bacilli; Lactobacillales; Streptococcaceae. The record is from RNAcentral.